GCCCCUGUCGUCUAGUGGCUAGGACGCCACUCUCUCAAGGUGGAAACAUGAGUUCGAUUCUCAUCAGGGGCA
RNAcentral lists this transfer RNA (72 nucleotides) under Parcubacteria group bacterium. RNAcentral's name for it is "tRNA-Glu". It matches the Rfam family "tRNA". From Rfam's summary of the family: Transfer RNA (tRNA) molecules are approximately 80 nucleotides in length. Their secondary structure includes four short double-helical elements and three loops (D, anti-codon, and T loops). The record is from RNAcentral. RNAcentral also lists the same sequence under 1 other name.